Molecule: unclassified non-coding RNA, 20 nt
Filed under: Caenorhabditis elegans
Lineage: Eukaryota; Metazoa; Nematoda; Chromadorea; Rhabditida; Rhabditidae
Description: trans-spliced leader sequence SL-2
Source: RNAcentral
GGUUUUACCCAGUUACUCAA